RNAcentral lists this ribosomal RNA (491 nucleotides) under uncultured bacterium. RNAcentral describes it as "partial 16S ribosomal RNA". It matches the Rfam family "Bacterial small subunit ribosomal RNA", at positions 29 to 506 of the family's 1533-position model. The record is from RNAcentral.
AGUGAACGCUGGCGGUAGGCCUAACACAUGCAAGUCGAACGGCAGCACAGUAAGAGCUUGCUCUUACGGGUGGCGAGUGGCGGACGGGUGAGGAAUACAUCGGAAUCUACUUUUUCGUGGGGGAUAACGUAGGGAAACUUACGCUAAUACCGCAUACGACCUACGGGUGAAAGCAGGGGAUCUUCGGACCUUGCGCGAUUGAAUGAGCCGAUGUCGGAUUAGCUAGUUGGCGGGGUAAAGGCCCACCAAGGCGACGAUCCGUAGCUGGUCUGAGAGGAUGAUCAGCCACCGUGGAACUGAGACACGGUCCAGACUCCUACGGGAGGCAGCAGUGGGGAAUAUUGGACAAUGGGCGCAAGCCUGAUCCAGCCAUGCCGCGUGGGUGAAGAAGGCCUUCGGGUUGUAAAGCCCUUUUGUUGGGAAAGAAAAGCAGCAGGUUAAUACCCCGCUGUUCUGACGGUACCCAAAGAAUAGGCACCGGCUAACUUCGU